Molecule: ribosomal RNA, 253 nt
Filed under: uncultured bacterium
Lineage: Bacteria
Description: partial 16S ribosomal RNA
Rfam family: Bacterial small subunit ribosomal RNA
Source: RNAcentral
UACGAAGGGGGCUAGCGUUGCUCGGAAUCACUGGGCGUAAAGCGCACGUAGGCGGCUUUUUAAGUCAGGGGUGAAAUCCUGGAGCUCAACUCCAGAACUGCCUUUGAUACUGAAGAUCUUGAGUUCGGGAGAGGUGAGUGGAACUGCGAGUGUAGAGGUGAAAUUCGUAGAUAUUCGCAAGAACACCAGUGGCGAAGGCGGCUCACUGGCCCGGUACUGACGCUGAGGCACGAAAGCGUGGGGAGCAAACAGG